This is a long non-coding RNA of Camelus dromedarius (Arabian camel), 1473 nucleotides long. RefSeq lists it as uncharacterized. The record is from RefSeq and is a predicted model, not a curated record. Lineage: Eukaryota; Metazoa; Chordata; Mammalia; Artiodactyla; Camelidae. The transcript is spliced from 3 exons.
CCCCCUGCCUGCCACCUGCGACAGGAACCGGUUUAAUAAUCUUGCUUUCUUUAAGAAAAUUAGCAUAUGUGUGCCCAUCACACUUAAGGUGUCAUCCGGGGCCACAACUGCUGAUGAAACGACCACAUGUCACGCGCUCACUAGAUGCGCAAGAACAAAAUCACCUCGUGACAACAGGCUAGAAUCCAGACAGAACAACUGGCACCUUCCCCUGCCGUAGGGUGCUUGAAAUGCUCAAACCCACAUCCUCCUGCUUUUCUCGUUUUUAUCAGACUUUGAGCCCAAGUAAGCAGCUUACACACAUGUAAGACACUAUGAGGACGCUUGGCCAGAGUCAUGGCCCAGACAAGCAAGGACCCACCGUCAUUUUUAAUAUCUAUACACAUGCAGCCCUCACGGGGUUUUUUAUUUUUCUUUUCUUUCAGAGGUACAAUUCCCAUGCUGGGAGAUUUUGUUGCCAAAUAGAAGUCCCUGUGACCAAGGCACCGUGAGGCCAAACUGGAACAUCGGAGUUUGAGGCAGAGAAGGGUUUACUGCAGGGCCGAGCAGGGAGCACAGGGUGGCUCUGGCCCAAGAAAACCCCAAACUCCUGGAAGGGGUUCAGCAAAUCAUGGUUAAAGGCCAGGGUGAGGACACGGCAGGAAGGUGGCCGUCUGCAAGCCAGGAAGCGAGCCCUCACCAGAACGCGACUGCCACAGACUGACUGUUCGUGUUCCCCUCCCUGCAAAUUCACACGUGAAAUCCUAAUCUCCAAAAGGACUGUUCUCUGAGGCGUGGCCUUCGGGAGGUAAGGCUACCCCCUCACGACUGGGAUUCGGGCCAUUAUACAGGAGCCCAGAGGGCCCCUCACCCCUCGCACCACGUGAGAACACAGCAGUGAACCAGGAAGCAGCAUCUCACAAGGCACUGGAUCUGGUGGCACCUUGAGCUUGGACUUCCCAGCCUCCAGAACCGUGAGGAAUAUGUCCCUAGAGUUUAUACGCCACCCAGUCUGGGGCAUUUUGUUGUAGCAGCCUUAAUGGACUAAAACCCUGACCGUGCUGGUGCCCUGGCCUCAAACGUCCAGCCUGCAGAACUGUGAGAGAACGAGUGUUCGAUGUUUAAAUCUGUGGUAUUUUGUUAAGACGAGAAGCAACAAGAGACAUGACCCCUCCACCGAAAGGGCCAGGGAACUGCAUGGAGUGAGCCAGUCGAGGCUGGGCCUGACGACCAGGAUCCAUAGGUGCGUCUGCGUGUUUGUGAGCAUCUUCACAGCCCUCAAUCUGAAAGACCAGCUAAAAACACAGGGAAGGGCUUUUCUUCACCAAGGAAAAGCCAUCUCCAGAUUCUUCAGUUGAGACUCAUUUUACUGACUUGCAAGACGAAGUUUAAAUAUUGAACUUCAGAGCUGCAAGGACCGUGAGGCAUUACCUAGGACAAAAUUCCAAAAUUCCUACUGCAGGAUGUUGUGAAGCAGGAGUUAUUUGAAUACAC